Agrilus planipennis (emerald ash borer) is the source of this 352-nucleotide long non-coding RNA. RefSeq lists it as uncharacterized. The record is from RefSeq and is a predicted model, not a curated record. Lineage: Eukaryota; Metazoa; Arthropoda; Insecta; Coleoptera; Buprestidae. The transcript has 2 exons.
GAUGGUACGUAGCAUUCGCCCUUUGCACCACCGUUCUGACUGAAGAUUUUAUUUCAAGGACUUUCUGUUCCACCUACCAAGGACAAGUUUACUGCUCGUCGGGAUUCAGACGAAAAUACCCUUUAGAUAAAAUCGAGGCAUUUAUUGACCAAAAUAAGGCAUUGGUUGAACGUUUAUAUGGAGGGUUUUCAUCAGAUUACCAAUUUUCAGGAGGCUUUAAGCGAAAACGGGAAAGCAUUCUGAAAUAAAUCAAUAUAAAAAGACCAAGAAGAAUAACGACAUUGUUUUGUAAAUUAUAUCAAAUGGAAACAAUAAAAAGUAGAACAUUUACUAUAAGUAAGUCUCAAAUAUA